AGCAGCCGCGGUAAUUCCAGCUCCAAUAGCGUAUAUUAAAGUUGUUGCAGUUAAAAAGCUCGUAGUUGAAUUUCGGGAUCAGUACGCUGGUCAUGCCUUUGGUAUGCACUGGUGUCACUGGUUUCUCCCUUCUGAAGAUCCGUGAUGUCAUUAAUUUGGUGUCGCGGGGAAUCAGGACUGUUACUUUGAAAAAUUGAGUGUUUAAAGCAGGCUCACGCUUGAAUACAUUAGCAUGGAAUAAUGAAAUAGGACGUUUGACCCUAUUUUGUUGGUUUCUAGGAUCGACGUAAUGAUUAAUAGGGAUAGUUGGGGCAUUAGUAUUCAAUUGUCAGAGGUGAAAUUCUUGGAUUUAUUGAAG
Molecule: ribosomal RNA, 358 nt
Filed under: uncultured Glomus
Lineage: Eukaryota; Fungi; Glomeromycota; Glomeromycetes; Glomerales; Glomeraceae
Description: SSU rRNA
Rfam family: Eukaryotic small subunit ribosomal RNA
Source: RNAcentral